RNAcentral lists this long non-coding RNA (40988 nucleotides) under Zostera marina. RNAcentral describes it as "long non-coding RNA (ZMAR_LNC002096)". Lineage: Eukaryota; Viridiplantae; Streptophyta; Magnoliopsida; Alismatales; Zosteraceae. The record is from RNAcentral.
ACCGGCUGACCGGUAAAAUCCAACUAACCGGUGACCGGUUAGUUGAGACGGGUAAAUGGGUCGAUGGGACGGGUCUGACCCGUACCCGACCCGGUUACCCGUCUCGGUUAUAAAUAAUUCACUUAUGGGCUUUAUUUAAUAAAGCCCAUUAUGUUUAAUUUAUUAAAGCCUCAUUUCAAGUUAUUUGAAACCCUAUAAGUUCAUUUAAUAAAGCCUCAACGAAUAAGUUUAAGGAUAUUUUGAAUUACAUUAUGGAAUUAAUUACUUAUUUGCAUUACUAUUUUGAUAUUUUUAUUUAUAUAAACAGGGAUAUAAACAUGGAUAUAAACAUGGAAUAGAUAUAUAAGUAUAUAACAAAAUUUCUGUUUUUUUAAAAAAAAUUACGAAAAUACCCCUACCGGUUAACCACUGGUUACCGGUGGUUAACCGGUCUAACCGGAAAACCGGUAAGCCAGAACCGGUUACCGGUUAACCGGUUUUUAAACCUUGGUAUAUACAAUUUAGCAUUAAUUCCUACUUAACUCUCUAAUACAUACAAAAUAGAAAUGAGAUAAUUUUAAUUCUAAACUACAUCAGGAUACAAAUCUACAGUGUUCUUUGGUUCUUAUAAUUUUAAUAUAAUGUAUUAAUACAUCAUCAAUGAGAUGUUUUUGGACAAAAUUGGGAUGUCCAUAAAGAUAUCACGAAUAAUGAAAAUAAAAAACCCGGUAAAUUUCUCAAAGAAAUGUAAAAAACAUGAUAGGAGAGCCAGAAACAUUAUCCUGAAAAAGCAUCUUCAAUCUGACCUUCUUUGUUGUAGUUUCAGCCUCUGUCCAGAUGCCAUCGACUUGUUUGUAAAGCUUGUCCUUUGUUUGCUUUGUUCUGCAUCCAGUCUGCUUGUAAAUAAGUGACUUCUUUGGAGUUACUGCUGGCCGCGACAUACGAUGUAUGUCUCAGGCUACAGCAAGAAAAUAAUCAGGCGGACAAACUAAAAAAUAAAGUAAUUACCUAGUUUUUAAUUCCUCCGUUAUUCCUCCCACUUUUUCAUUCAAUUCUUUGACAGUCUUUUGGAAUUCUGAGUUGCUGCCAAUAAGUGACAUAAGCAAAAGUACACAUCCAAAUUAUAUAUUUUUAAUGUUUUAAUAUAAAUACACAGAAAUAAGAAAUCCUAGAAUAUACCACAUUAUUACUACAUUAGUAAUGAAUUGAUUGACUUAUAAUAACAAUGAGUUAACACAGAGAAGAUAUACAUCAUAAAUUAAAUAUUAUAUCAUUGAAGCAACACAAAUAAAUAGAUUAUUAUUUAAUAUUUAUAACUGGUUACCGAUAACAUACAUUAUUAUUUUACAGUCUAAUUAAAUGAUAGGUUAUAGAAUUUUCAAUAUGAAUAAAAAGUUUUGAUAUUUAACAUGUUAUAAAUAUUUAAAAUAACAUCGAAAUGUUUAUGGCAUUGUGAGUUUUGACUAUGUUUCAGCCCAAUAGUAUGUUACAAGUUUAGAUCAAAUAGUAUCGAAAAAAGGAAGCACCCUUAGAUUCUUUUACAACUGAAAAUCCAAAAAUUAAACGAAUCCCAGACUAUUAAAGGUAAGACGGGGAGGAAAGUAGAAAACACAAAUACUUUAAAAACUGUUGAACAUGGACUGACAAUGAUCAUAUCUAAUUAUCUAUAUUCUAUGGCGAUUUCCCUGUUGGAACAAUCAGACAUAGUAAUAAUAAAUAACGCCGAUUUCCAUAAUUCUGAACAAUACUUUAGUCUGCAGUAACUCACAAGGUGUAGAUAGAUAGAAUGGGAAAUGGAGCUUGUGUUUAAUUCCUUAGAUGGUGAUACUAAUUCAAUUCAAUAUUUGGAAUAAAAAUGACUCAGUCUAAACCAACUCAAAUGACUUGUUUCCAAAUAGUGUUGGCACUUCGCAGAAUUAAUGGAUUUGGAUAUUAACAUAAGCAAAAAUUGAAAAAAUACUAAAAUAUUUUUAAUUGAAAAAAACUAUUUUAAAAUACGUAUAAUUCAUUCAACUAUAAGAGAUUUCUUAUUGUUGUAUUAAUAGUACAAAAUAAGAAUCGGAAUACCUCUUGACUUCUCCUUUUAGUUGUUUGGAGAACUCACUGAAAAUGCCAAACUGUCGUGAACCGAAAGGUUCAAUAUUCGUAUUCAAUCUCAAAGACCUACCACUUGAAAUCUGAUCAAAAAUUAUUAGAAAAAUAUGUGUUUAGAAAACCAAAAAAUAAUCCACUGGGAAUAAAAAAUAGGGCAAACAUUCCAAAUAAAAGAUGUUGCUUUCGUAAAUACCUCUUGACACCGGUGAAAGUUGAGGGAGAAAGGGUGACGGUGUUUCCGAGUAAGAAGCAAAUCACGAGCAAUCUUCCUGCUAGCCAUUAGAUAAUCUUCACCUCUAUUUUCAAACUCACCCUUUCUUUUUCUCCAACGAUGAUUAAUGGCUUGAUAUUUAUUUAUGCCUCAAACUAUAAAGAAGGAAAAAGCUUUACCUAGAACUAACCAGAGGUGUGUGAGUGAAGCCGGUAAGAAGACGGACGGCAAGGUUAGAGUUUUAGCCUUUUAGGGUUAGACUCUUUCUUACAGAAUACAAACGACAAGGUAAUAAUUUUUUGUUUUCCGAAUUUCUGUGUCGAAAUUAUUUUGGAUUUAUAUUUUAGUAAUGGGCAAUUUCCGAACUUCACAAUUUGUGUUUUAUAAAAGGGGAAAAACAAAUAAUAGGUAUUUAUUAAAAUUACUAAUCUAAAUUCUAAUAUAUUUUUUUGAUAAUAUAUCAAUGAUUAUAUAAAAAUUAAGAUUAAAUCCUGAAUACUCUAUAUGGUUGUUAGAGUAUCGGUGCUAUAUAUAUUACAUAUGGAAGUGAGAUCUUUUACAAUGAACCCAAAUGUGAUUGACGAAUCAUAAUCAUUCAUAUUUAAUUUAACGAUGAUGAGAGUUUAUUAAAAGAUGUACUUACGGAAGGUAACCCUACAUUACCAUACUUCAAAGGAAUUCAUGGAUAGCAAGGAGAACCUAGACAGAUCGAUAUAUUCGUAAUACAUUCUUAUCUGGAUCCAAUCAUUUCGUUAAUUUUAUACAUCAAUCUCUCAUUUGAUCUGAAGUAUUAUAAAAAAGUUGUCACUUUUUGGAAACUUUUAUGAUGAAAAUAUAAAAAACUAAUAUUCUGAAACAACGUAUCUAGCUAUUUUACAACUAAACUACAUAACUAAUGAAAAAGUGUUAACAAAUUUGUUGUUUAUUUUUUUUACUUAUAUUUGUAUUUCUAUUCUUUAUGUUAUAAUUUGAACAAUGUAAUUCUUUUCAAUUAAAUUUAUUUGUUUAAAAAAAAAUCUACUGUAAAGGAAGGAAGGUUGUAUAAAGAGUACAUUCCAUUGUACAAAUUAGCCAACGAUAAUUAGUCAUUAGACACAUAAGAUUAACAAAUUCUCCUUAUGUAGUUGGAGAAUUAGGUUAAGAAAAUUACCCACUAAAGUACAGGUAUAAUAUGUAAGUGUAAGACUCUUAGAUGAAUAGGGUAAGCUUUCAUAUUCAAGAUAAAUUUCAGUUCAUUCAAUGUGAAAUUGAAUUCAAGGAGCCAAUUCUCAAACCGCGAUAGUGUUGCAUUUACAAUUUUACAUUGAGAGUUUUUUUCAAAGUAAGCUAAUCUUUUCUAGAGAGAGAGAGAGAUGUAAUAGAAUGCACAUCAUAUCCUAUCCCCUUGCAAAGAGAGAAACAUAGAACUACAGAAAAUACCAAAGUUAUAUUUAAUCCGAACAAAGUUCAAAGUAGAAGUACAAAUCAGACAAUAUCCGAAUUACAUUGGAAAAAUAAAAAAGAUAGAAAAGAAAGAUGAAUUACACUUUUCAAUUGACUAUGCUACCAAAUGAGAAUCGAUUAGAUUGGUGUUUCACAUCUGAAGUGUAGUGGUCUACAAAGAAUGACUAUCACUAAGUAAAUUUUGUUUCUUUAUGAAAAAUGAAAUUUUAACUCUUGCAAAUUUUGUUUUGUUUUAAUAUUUUAGCUAGCUCAUCAAUCACUGAUGUUAAAAUGAAAUAGUUUAAUAUAAUAGUGGGAAAAUUAGAUGUUAUUUGUUAACCUUACAUUAAAAAUUUAUAAAAAAAAAUCAAUAUAGAUUUUUUUUUAAAGAAACGGUUUAUAUUUUUUUACAAUUUUUCAGCAACUGCCUAAUGAUAAAAAUGACAGUUUUUUUGUUGUUUUAAAAAAUAAAAUUACCAAAAAAAAAACAAUUACAAUUUCUACUUAUAACUUAUAAGGCUAAAAAAUAAAAUGAGGCUAAAAAAAAUUAUUGACAAUGUCAAAACUGCAUGAUAGACUGAAAUUUCAUAUCAUGUUGCUUUCGUAAAUGAAACCUACAAUGUACAAAUUCAUGCUGUAAUGAUGAGAAGUAAAAACUUAUCAUGUUUUGCUCACGUCAGCAAAAUUCCUGAUGAUUUUUUUCAGAGCUCUGCCACCUCUCCCUUGUGGCCGCAUAUUGCCAUUUCGUAUAGAAUCAUUUUCCCUGCUAGCUAGAUAAUCUGAAGCUGCCACUACGAGGGUUUCCUUCCAGAUGGUUACUAAGUAAUUUAUCUCAUUUUGUUUCAGAUACUCUUCAGGAAGGCAAUCCAUCUAAGAUAUUCAAAAGAAAGGUUUCUAAAUUAAGGAAAAAAGGCCUGAUAUAUAAUCACACAAAAAUAGAGAAAGAAUUCAGUCCUAUAUAUAUGGAACCUUCGGAGUGUCAUUAGAUGCUUAUCAUGACAUAUCUGGACAAAAAAAAAUAAAAGAUACAUACAAAACACCAGUAGGCUUCCUGAGAUAGUUCUUAAGGAAGUCAUUAAAGACAUCAGUCUGUCUCUCCUUUGGACCGGAGUGUCAUAAGAAAAGCUGUUGUCAUCCUUUGGAGACAUCAACAAUGGAAGUGUGGGAGACCAACCUUCUGAGGCAGCGUAUCUAGUUAUACAACUAGAUUGAGAGAAAGUCAAUGAACUUUUUGCUUAUUUCUUUGUACUUCUUGUAUCUAUAAAUUUUUGGAGAAAGUUAAUGAACUUCUUGUUCAUUUCUUUGUACUUCUUGUAUCUAUAAUUUUUUUACUCUAUAUAAUCUGGGCAUUGCCCUUAAUUUGUUAAAUAAAAAUUUAAUUUCUUUCAAAAAAAAAAAGUCCUGUAUCUCAUGCCUUAGCAACUAUAGAAUGACACAACAUUAUCCCCUAUGCAGAAGUAAUAUAAGACCUAAGAGCAUUAUAGACAGAUAAUAUAAGCAUUUGGUCUAGAAUGCCUUCUAAGUUUUCUGUCCUGUUAUGGAGAAUCAAAUGGAAAUUCCCUUGCUUCAAAAAAAAGAAGGAAAUUCCCAAACACCAUAACCAGACUCCAAUCUUAGAGUAUAAAUCUAUAAACAACCAAUCUCCGAUGUUGAACAGAAGAAGAAUCCAUCCAUCCCUAUUUUUUACCAAGGUGCUUAACUCUGCCAUUUGGGAAGUUAGAUACGAUCAUGACAACAAAAUGGGUGAUGCCAUUGGAUAGUUCACACAAAGGGCAGGUUGUUGGGGCGCCCACCGGUUAUUUCUAAGAUCCUUAGCUUAGCACACAUGGAAUGAAAGAAACUGUAGACUAAAACAACACACACUUAGACCCCCAGAAAGUGUAAGCAGGGAUAUUUUAAGCGAUGUGAGUAUUGUGUAUGGUGUCACACCCUAUAGGAAAAUAAAUCUCAGAUUGAAAAUCAGGCUCUAUUCCUAUCGGAGUUCAACGUCUUAAUGCCUAGAAUCUAGUUGUAUAUGAGAGUGACAAUAGUUUUCAUUUCCCUAUAUUUCUACUUGGGACAUGCCCACCCUUCUACUUGCAAUAAUGAAAUCUUUAAAUUCAUCAAAAAAGAAAGAAAAUAAAAAGGUAUAGAAAAUGACCGUUGAUUGAAGCCAAUGAAACAGAGAAUUCCAAGAGAUGGCUGUUUUCCAUUUGCUUUGGACACAGAUCUGAAAAAUUGAGGCUAUCUGCUGUAAAAUUGUUGCAGACUUGUGAACCUGUACCCAACGAUAAAUAUGAUAUAGUUGAAGAAAGAUUAAAAGAAAAUUGUAAAACUGGUAUGAAAAAUUAAAUGCACAUGAAAGAAAAAAUUAAAGGGAACUUCAGAAUGUUUUGUUUUCAGUAAUCAAUUAAUCACGAAAUAAAAUACAAGAAAGAGGACAGGGCUACAGGGUUUCACCAGACUGCAGUUAAAUAAAAUCAAAACAAAUAUAUUUCUGUAAGAAUUUUGUGAAACCAGUUCUUUUUUGCUACUAGAGGAUAACCUACUAUUCAGCCUGAAGUAAUAGUUGUCUUAAAUCCAUUAUGGGAAGGUGGAAAAUUAAGUUUCUCUGACUUCAAGUAUGAAAAACCCCUGACACUCUAUACUCACAGAAGUUCAAAGUAUCAUAAUAAUGCAGUAAACAAUCAAUGAAAUUAAACAAUUACCACAGAAACGUGUGGGGAGAGCAAUCUGAAAAAAUCCAGCACUUCAGAUUGAAGAAUAGAUGGUUUAUUGGAAUCCACCAAUAAAUGCUACUAGAAUCCACUAGUAGGGAAUAGGAAAAUCAGAUAGGAAUCCACCUGAUCCGAUGAGAAAAAUGAGAAAGGAUCGCAAGAUCUGAAAAAAGUAGGAGAGAGAAAAUAUUGGGUAUUCACCUUGGAAAAAUUGUAAUCCCCUCCUUCUUUGAGUCCACUCCUAUUUAUACUCCCAAUAUUUAAGAGUGGAAAUUCCAUAUUGGGAGUUGGUCAGUCCAAUUAAAGGGACUGAGCCAUGGCUCAAGCCAAUGACCUUGUAGAUCAUUGCAAUGGGCUACAUCAGGCGGCCCUUCUUGAGGUGCAGUUGCCCUCAAUUGCUCAUCACUAUACUCAGAAGGAUAAUACUUCUUUAGAUCAGCCACAUUGAAUGUUGCAGACAUAUUGAAUUCUUUCGGUAAGUCCACAAUAAAGGCAUUGUCAUUCACUUUCUUCAAGAUUUUGCAAGGUCCAAAUUCCUGUUUUUCAAUUUGGAGUAAGUGCCUGCUGGAAAUCUCUCUUUUUUCAAAUGAACCAUCACUAAUUCAUCUUCUUCAAAUUUUUGAAACCUUUUGUGUUUAUCUGCUAAUUCUUUGUAUUUCAGGUUAUUUUUUUGCAGAGCCUCUAUCACUUGUUUAUAUACUGCUUUGCUGUUUUCUAUUAUUUCCUCCACUUUUCUGUUUUCAGAAUUAAUAGAAUUUACAUCCAUUACAUUUUUGGGAAGGUGCCCAUAUGUUGCUAAGAAUGGGGCACAACCAAUAGAUCUGUUCGGCAUACUAUUGAACGCGAAUUCUUCUUGUCGUAGACAAAGGUCCCACUGUUUUGGAUUUUCUCCAACUAAAGGUCUCAACAGAUUACCUAAGGUUCUGUUUACAACUUCUGUCUGGCCAUCAGUUUGAGGAUGACAAGUUGUGUUGAAUUUCAGACUUGUAUCGAACCUUUGCCAUAGAAUUUUCCAAAAAUGAGACAAAAAUUUAGUAUCUCGAUCUGACACUAUGGAGUUAGGAAUCCCAUGAAUUCUAACUAUUUCUUUGAAAAAUAACUUAGCGAUAUGUGAGGCAUCACUAGUUUUCUUGCAAGGAAUGAAAUGAGCCAUUUUUGAAAAACGGUCUACUAUCACAAAAAUAGAGUCAAGUCCUCCUCUAGUUUUUGGCAGCCUCAAAAUAAAAUCCAUGGACAAAUCAGUCCAAGGUGCUUUUGCCACUGGAAGUGGUGUGUAUAAACCUGUGUUCUGAUGACUCCCUUUGGCUAUUUGACAUAUAUGACAUCUUUGGAUAAAUUUUUCUACCUCUUUUUUUUGACUCGGCCAAUAAUAUCUAUCUUCAAGUUGUGUAAGUGUUUUGUCUCUCCCAAAGUGUCCAGCCAGCCCACCAGCAUGUAUUUCUUGAAUUAACUGCAAUCUCAGUGAGGUCCUCGGUAUACAGAGUUUGUUGUUUUUGAAUAAGAAUCCUUCAUGAAUUUUGAACCCUUGAUUACAGUUACUUCUCAAACAUUGAUCCCAUAUUUGAGCAAAAUCUUCAUCAGAUUCAUAUAAUUCUUUCAAGGUGUCAAAAGAUGUGACUUCCAAUCUCAUAAUAGUUAGUAGAGAGUUUCUCCUACUAAGAGCAUCAACCACUUUGUUGCUCUGGCUUGAUCUGUGUUUGAUGGUGAAUUCGAACCUUUGUAAGAAUGCAAACCAUCUGCUAUGCAUUCUACUAGAAUCAGAAGUCCCAUUGAUUUGCUUUAGUGCUAAGUGAUCUGUUAAGACAACAAACUCCCUUUGAAUCAAGUAUGGUUCCCAGAUAGGUAUAUUAAAGAAAAGGCGUUUAAUGACAUACAAAUCAGGCUUACUGUGGAUUCGCAUUUUUGGAAAGCUUUUGUUUCAGAAAGAAGCCUAGUGGAUAAAUGUUUGGAUUGUAGGGCCAAUAGUACGAUUGUGUGGAAAUCUGGUACUCCGAUAAAUAAAUUGGGAGGAAUAGUGGAAAGUAUUAGAGAUAGAAAGCAUAAAGACAUGUUAGCUGAGGUUAUUUGGUCGAAGAUGCCGACAAAAUCCUCUAUUCUCUUGUGGAGGGUGAAAUGGGAUCACCUAAACACGUUCAGGAAGUUAAGAAGUUGGAGAGUACAAGUACCUCCUGCUUGCUUGUUAUGCAAUCUGGAAGAUGAAACUAGGAGUCAUCUUUUCUUUAACAGUUCUUAUUCCAGAUCUCUUUUAAUUCCGUUGGCGGAACACCUGGAUUUCGCUUUCUGGAAAAUAAUGAAUAUUCCAGUUCCCACCCAAUCCAGUCCAGAUAUUAGAUUGGGGGAUCUGACGGAGGCAGCACAAAAGAUUACGCGCCACUCUCUCCCUUGGGGGCUAAUAUGGAAUGCUACUGGGUGCUUGUUGUGGCAUAUAUGGACGGAAAGAAAUAAAAGGUAUAGGCAACACAUUAGUAGGCCUCUAGAGGUAGUCCUUAAGGAGGUCAUUAAAGACACCAGUCUCUCCUUUGAUUCAGUGUAUUACAAGAAGAGUUGUUGUCACCCUUUGGAGACAUCUAUGAUGGAAGUAUGGAAGACCAACCUCCUGAGGCAGCGUAUCUAGUUACUGUAUAACUAGACUACAUAGCUAAUGGGAGAGAGUCAAUGAGUUUUUUGCUCAUUUCUUUUUACUUCUAUUUUUAUUUUUAUUUUCUAUUUUUGUAAACCUGACAUUAGCCUUAUUCUAAUGAAAUUUAAUUGCUUCAAAAAAAAAAAAAGUUAUUGUUUAUAUUUGGCAUAUAUGGGAAGACAACAUUACCAUAGUGUUAUUGUUUAAAUAGAACAAUCUCCUUGGAUCUUGUAGAACACAAGAGAUAACUCUUCCUCUAUGAACUUGCAACCAAACUGAUUUUUCUUUAUGACCACACACCCUGUUGAUGCAUACCAUUUGGAAUUUGAGAAUGGAAUUACAUUAAAAAGUGUCUUGUGAGCUUGUCUUUAUUUUUUAUUCUUGCUCUUAGAUAUAGACCGGUCACUGUGGCAUGGCAUUUACAGAUCGAUUGACUUCAAUCUGUUGUUGAUCUCCAUAGAGAGGUGCUCUGGGAUUAACAUAUUGUAUAUGUAGUUAUGUACAGGCCAAACUAUAAAAUGAGAGAGAGAGAACGGCACUAAUUCAAGGGUUGACGAUUCCAAAAGGUAUGGAAGAUGUUAUGUAUCUUACCAAUUUUCAUGAUUAAUAAAGUUACCCAAUUCUCAAAAAAAGUAAAUGCAAAACAACAAGCUGAUAAUUGCAUAUCCAAGGUAACCUAAAAAAAGUAGAUAAAUUACCCUUGACAAAGCUGAUGGACCAAGCAAAGCAUGUAUUAUAUUAGAUAUAAGCCCUUCACCACUAUGCAAUAACACUUGAGUUGCAAUUGCACUAAAGGAGACCUCUGAAAAACGCGUCUCAUAUUCCAAGAGAGAUCUAAUUGUAAUUUCCAAGAAACCUGUAAAAAAUAAUCAAGGAAAGCCAGGAAGAAAUCAAUAUCCCUAACAGCAAAAAAUCCCAUCCAAACAUCACUAAACGAGCUACUUUUGCAUCUAAACUUCUAAAGUCUAGACAAGCAGUAUUAUGUAAGUCUACAUAUAAAUAAAAGAGAAAUUGAAAAAAUUAAACAAUUUAAAAGAAAAAUCCACAUUACUGACUAAAACAAUAAAACCAUACACUUUUAUGUGUCUAUCAGAUACGAUGUCAGCAAAUGAUCAUUUUUUUACAAAUGAUUCUAAUGAAAUCUGUCCACAAAUGGGAAAAAAGAAGAGUUUAUACUUUACAGAAAGUAUUGGUAAAAAUAUGAACAGAAAACUACCUCCUACUCUAUUAGUUAGUUAGGCUUUAUUGUAAUUAAUAUAAUUAAUGAAUGUGGUGUUUUAAAAUUUAGUAGAGGAAUAAACGAAAUGUGGUUAGAUCUAAAUCUGUAUAAAUAAGAGACCAUCAAUGCUAAGAAAGGGUUCAGAUUUUGGAAUCAUUUCCCCCAAAUCUAAGUUGGUAUCAGAGUAUAGGGAAAUUAGAUCCCGUUCUUUUUUUAUUACAAGCUGUUAGAUAGCUAGUCAUCAUAGAAGAGUCUGCAAAUGGAGGUGUUACCACUCGACUGAAAAGGUUGUCUACAUCGAACGUUAAAUUGACAUUGCUGGAUAGGGAUAACUACUUCCCCUGGAGGGCACAAUUUGCUUGUCUUCAAUGGUUAUGAGUUUCUACCAUCCUUGAUGGGAGCAGAAACACUUACAGAUCCGGUUGCUCGACGAUAGGAUAAAUGGUUCUUGUAUACUUGUUGACAUAAAUUUCAGCGGCAAUAUUUCUCAAGUAACAAGAUAUUGCACAUCUGCUGAAGUAUGGAGCACACUUCAAAGAAUGUUCACAUCCAGCUCCUGAUCAAAUAUUAUGAGUCUUCAGCAGAAGAUUCGCAUUGUGCGAAAAGGCCAUCGCUCCUGAUCAAAUGAUGGUGUUUGUAUUCCCCAUCUGACAAGUUUGCCGAAAAUUGUUAAGUAUCUCCAUGUAACCCACCAUAAUAUUAUUGAGAUUUUUUCGGGCAUUUGUGACCAUAUUCCUUGUGGUAGGGGGUCCAUAUGGCUAGAAGGUCAGAUUUGUUGGGUAAAUUUCCCCAAUUUGUUAAUUGGGGAGUCUUUCUUCCAAUUAAUUGUGUAAUUUGUCUCACACGUCAGUCAACUGUACUCUCGAACUGUAGGUCCUCCAAUGCUUGUCUUCUAAUGUAUCUUUCUUCGAUCCAUUUUACUAGAAUAGAGGACCCCUCUCCCCAGAAACUGGAAGCUCUUUUCAAAGCCACUACCCUGGUUAUGAUUGGCAAGUUCCUGACCCUUAAUCCUCCUUCCCUUUUAGGAAGAACUAUUUUCUCCCAUGGUCCUCCUUUCCUUCCAUCCCAUAUAAAUCGAUAUGCUACUUUCCUAAUAUUUGUUAUUACUGAGCUGGGAAGUGUUUUUUUUUUUGAAGCAAUUAAAUUUCAUUAGAAUAAGGUUAAUACCAAGUUUACAAAAAUAGAGUAUAGAAAUAAAAAUAGAAGUAAAAAAAAUGAGCAAAAGCUCAUUGACUCUCUCCUAUUAGCUAUGUAGUCUAGUUAUAUAGUAACUAGAUACGCUGCCUCAGGAGGUUGGUCUCCCAUACUUCCAUCAUAGAUGUCUCCAAAGGGUGACAAUAACUCUUCUUGUAAUACACCAGCGCCGCUUAGAGAGUUUGAGUUAUGUGGGUUCCACAUUUCCACCGCCAAUUUAAUCCAACGAUCACAAAUUCAUCGGAAAUAGAAAGGUGAAAUAAAAAAAAAGUAGUUGAAAUUCAAACAGAAAACUCGCUACAAUUUCAUAAAACCCUAAAAUCAAAUGGGAAAAAAUUGACGACGACAAACAAACUAAUGUAGGUGAUGAUAUGGGUGAAGAGAAUAAUCAGAAAAAAAAGGGGAUGAAAGGGAGAAAACAAGGAACAAUUUCCUGUUCACGAAUUCCCUGUUUGUAUCUCACAAACAGAGUUCAGAUCUUGCAUAAAAGUUAAUUCUAAUCCAAGAAUUAACCCUAAAUUGCCAGAUUCGAAAAUAACAAGAAAAGGCAAGAAAAGAUGGAAUACCAAAGAGCAAAUGAGAGUUACCUGGAAUAAGGAAAUUAACUCUCAAAAAACUGCUGCCUCUUUGUUGUCCACUCUUAUUUAUACUCUCAUGGUGUGAGAGUGGAAAUUCCACCAUGAGAGUCCAAGCCCAUUUUAUUGGGCUUGGUCCAUGGGUCGAAUUAAUUCGAACCCAUGGGAGAUGAGAACUUGGUCUGCAUUAGGCGACCCCACUUGGGAAUCAAUUGUCCUCAAUUGAGCAUCUUCAUCCUCUGGAGGGUAAAAUUUCCUCAAAUCAGCAACAUUGAAGGUUGAAGACAUAUUGAACUCUUGAGGAAGGUCUAUGACAUAUGCAUUAUCGCUGAUUUUCUUUAGAAUCUUGCAUGGUCCGAAGUUCCUAUCUUUCAAUUUAGAAUAUGAUCCUGCUGGAAAUCUGUCCUUUUUUAGAUGAACCAUAACUAAUUCAUCAUCUUUAAAACUGAUUGCUCUUCUGGACCUAUCGGCUCUUUUUUUGUACAAGUCAUUUGAUCUUAUGAUUGCUUCUGCCACCUGUUUGUGUAUUGUUUUGCUAUUUUCCAGAAUAUCUUCAACUUUUCUGUUUUCUGUAGGAAUAGAAGAAAUAUCCAUCACAUUCUUGGGAAGGUGACCAUAUGCAACCAUGAAAGGUGCCAUCCCUGUAGAUCUGUUUGGCAUGCAGUUAAAAGCAAAAUUCAGCUUGUGCCAAACUUUGAUCCCACUGUUUUGGUUGCUCUCUUGCCAAGGUUCUUAACAGAUUACCUAGUGAUCUGUUCACAACUUCAGUUUGACCAUCUGACUGCGGAUGACAGGUUGAACUGAAUUUCAGAUCUGUAUCGAAUCUUUUCCAAAGUAUUCUCCAAAAAUGGGAGAGAAAUUUUGUAUCUCUAUCCGAGACAAUGGAUUUUGGGAUUCCAUGCAGUCUAAUCACCUUAUUAAAAAAUAAUUUCGCUAUAUGAGAAGCAUCAUUUGUUUUUUUGCAUGGGAUGAAGUGGACCAUCUUUGAAAAUCUGUCCAUGACUACAAAUAUAAAAUCCAAUCCUUUAUUAGUCUUUGGAAGUCCUAAGACAAAAUCCAUUGACAGGUCAGCCCAAGGUUCUUUGGGUACAGGUAGUGGAGUGUAUAACCCAGUGUUUUGCUGACCUCCUUUAGUUUGUUGGCAUCUUGUGCACCUCUGAACGAAUCUCUCUACCUCUUUUUUUAUACCAAGCCAGUAGUAUCUACUUUCCACUUGUGCUAGAGUUUUGUCUCUUCCAAAGUGGCCAGCCAAUCCACCUGAAUGUAAAUCCUUUACUAGUUGUAACCUCAAAGAAGUUUGAGGAAUACCUAGCCUGUUGUCCUUGAAAAGAAACCCUUCACUAAUUCUGAAUCCCUUGCUGUUGUCACUAUGUAGACAUCUGUCCCAGAUUUCUGAGAAAUCUUCAUCUGUUGGGUACAAUUCUUUUAAGGCCUCAAAAGCUACCACUUCUACCCUUAAUAUUGUCAAUAAGGAACUCUUUCUGCUUAGGGCAUCAGCUACUUUAUUACUGGCACCAGAUCUGUGUUUUAUGGUGAAUUCGAAUCUUUGUAAAAAUGAGAACCACCUGCUAUGCAUUCUAUUAUUGUCAGAGGUUCCAUUGAUCUGUUUUAAUGCUAUGUGAUCAGUCAAUACUACAAAUUCUCUCUGCACUAGAUAAGGUUCCCACACUUUGCAAGCUCUAACCACUGCAUACAACUCUUGUUCAUAAGUUGUCCAAUUUUUUCUGCUAGCUGUGAGUUUCUCACUGUGAAAUGCUACUGGGUGCCCUUUCUGACUCAAAACAGCUCCCACUCCACAAAUACUUGCAUUACAUUCCACUUCAAAUAUUUUGUUGAAAUCUAGCAAGGCUAACACAGGUGCUAUUAAUAUUUUUUUUUUUUUAAUUUCUGUAAGCUUCUUCAGUCCACAUAAACUUGCCCUUCUUCAAGCAAUCAGUAAUGGGACUAGCAAUUGAACUGAAUUUUUUAAUAAAUCUCCUAUAGAAGGAAGCUAACCCCAUGAAACUGCGCACUUCAGUAAUGGAAGAAGGGGUUGGCCAGUUUACUUCUAUUUUUUAUUUCUAUUCUCUAUUUUGUAAACUUGACAUUAGCCUUAUUCUAAUGAAAUUUAAUUGCUUCAAAAAAAAAAAAGGGGUUGGCCAGUUUUGUAGUGCCUCUGUUUUCUUUGGAUCCAUUUUCAUCCCAUGAACCCCAAUAAUGAAUCCUAGAAAACAUAAUUCUUCAGUAAAAAAUUCACAUUUCUGCAAAUUUAUUUUUAAUUUAUUUUCAUCCAAAAGCUUGAAAACUGAAGUAACAUAUCUGCAAUGAUCUUGUUUACUCUUGCUGAAAAUCAAGAUAUCAUCGAAGUAUAUCACUACACAAGAUCCCAACAGUGGUUUCAAUACUUCAGUCAUCAACCUCAUAAAUGUGGAUGGUGCAUUUGACAAGCCAAAUGGCAUCACCAUCCACUCAUAUAGUCCUUGUCUAGUUUUAAAUACUAUUUUUCACUGAUCUCCUUCUCUUAUUCUGAUCUGAUGGUACCCACUCUUCAUAUCCAUUUUUGAAAAAAAUUGAGCUCCAGCCAAGGACUCCAACAGUUCAUCUAUCCUUGGUAUUGGGAAUCUGUAUUUAACUGUUAUUUUAUUUAUUGCUCUGCUGUCAACACACAUCCUCCAAGUCCCAUUUUUUUUGGUACUAGGAGUGCUGGCACCGCACAAGGGCUUAAGCUCGUCCUAAUCAGCCCAUCUUCUAAUAAUUUUUCAACCUGAUUUUGUAGGAUUUCAGCCUCAUUGGGACUCAUCCUACAGUGAGGAAGGUUUGGUAGUGAAUCUCCUGGUACUAGGUCUAUUCUGUGAUCAAUAGCCCUAAUUGGUGGAAGAAUAUUUUCAACACUAGCCAACACAAUUGAGGGAAAUUUGCUAAGAAUUGUUUGAGCCACUUCUGGAAUUUCUUUUAUUUCAGAACUGUCUUCCUUCUGAUAUUUAAUUACCACUGCUAGACAUUUUUGUUCUUCUCUUAAUUCUUGUAGAAACUCUGGUAUCUGCUGGAGUAAGAAAUUUGUUUUAGUAUCCUUCUUUGUGUUAGAAUCAGGAAGUAGUGGCAAGAGAGCAACUUUUCUGUCAUCAGCCUGAAAUACAUAUGUAUUUAGUCUCCCAUGAUGUGUGGCAUUCACAUCAUAUUGCCAUAGUCUACCUAGUAAUAUGUGAGUUACAUCCAUAUCAACUACAUCACAAACUAUAGUAUCCUUGUAUCCUUUUCCAAUGGAGAGUGGUACCUUGCACAAAUAUUUAAUUCUAGCUUCAUCCCCAUUUUUUAUCCACCCAAUAGAAUAUGGUUUUGGGUGUUCCUCCAUUUUCAGUUCUAAUUUUUUUGCUGCUUUUUCUGAUAUCAGAUUAUCUGUGCUUCCAUUGUCAAUUAUGAUUUGACAAGUUUUUCCCUUAACAGUUCCUUUGGUGCGGAAUAAAUUUGUUCUCUGCACUUGAUCAAUUUUUUUAGGUAUGUGACAAGUUUUGUGGAUCAAACAAGACAGGCUUGACCCUUCAUCAGGAUUAUAUUCUUCUAUUGACCCGCUAGAGUCAUCAGAAUUAUAGAUAACAACACCAUAUCUAAUUCCUUCACAAAGCCUAACAGCUCCUUUUUUGGGACAGUUGUUUGCUUUAUGACCCAUCUCUUGGCAUUUGUAGCACCUCACAACACCUCAACCCUGAUUGUCACUGCUGGCUUUUUCCCCUUUGUUUCAUCAUUUGCUAUCUCAGUUGCUGUUUUUUCUGUUUGGCCAACUGAAAUUCCUUUUCCUUUGUAAUAAUUAUUUUUACUAGAGCUCCCUACUGAAAAUGAUGAGUAUUUUGCUCCUUGUCUCUUCAGUUGCUCAAAAAUACUCACUGUUUUCAUCAAGGACAUAGGUGAUUGCAACAUCACUUUUUCUUGUAAGUUUGAUUUUAAUCCUUCAAUGUAUCUUGCCAUUUGUUGUUCUUCUUAUUCCAUUAGGUUGUUCCUAGCUCCCAAACGAUGGAACUCCUCUGUGUACUCAGCUACUGUCCUUUUUCCUUGCUUGCAUUUUUGGUAUUGAGUAAAUAAUAUGCUCUGAAAUUCCAUUGGUAGGAACCUCUCUUUAAGAAUUUUUUUCAGCUUCUCCCAUAUAGUUAUUGGUCUCUUCUGAAAUUUUUCUCUAUUUGUGGUGGUCUGAUCCCACCAAGCAGCUGCUCCCCCUUUAAAUUUUAGGGCGACUAGCUUCACUUUCUUUGUUUCAGGAAUAUCCAUGUAAUCGAAAAAUCUUUCUACCUCAGAUAGCCAAUCUAGGAACUGCUCAAUGUGUAGCUUCCCAUUAAAUUCUGGAAUUUCCAUUCACAAUCUGUAAUUCUCAAAUUCAUUGUCUCUUCUGUGUCUACCUCUUUCUUACACUUCUAGUGCACCUCCUCUGUAAUUGCCUCCAUUUCUGCCUCUGUUAGUACCAUGUUUUCCUCUGUUUCUCUGGUACUGAAUCACAUUUUCCUGCUCUUCCUCAUCAGAAAAAUCAGAAAAAUAUUGUUGUUGGUCUCUCGUGUAUGGAACUCUCUCUUGUUGGAUUUGUUGUUCCAAUCUCUCCCGGGCAGUUGUGUUGGUUCUUGUCCUGUUCUGAUGUAUGAUCUGUGCUCUCUUGCUGUUGCAAGAUCAAAAAGCCUUGUCGAACCGUUGUUGACAGGUCCGCCAAUGCCUUACUGAGUCGGUCUAACUCUUCACGAGAAACAGGUGCUGCCAUCGCCAACGAUCGAUUCCCGCCUAGACUGAUACCACUUAAUGUAGGCGAUGAUAUGGGUGAAGAGAAUAAUCAGAAAAAAAAGGGGAUGAAAGGGAGAAAACAAGGAACAAUUUCCUGUUCACGAAUUCCCUGUUUGUAUCUCACAAACAGAGUUCAGAUCUUGCAUAAAAGUUAAUUCUAAUCCAAGAAUUAACCCUAAAUUUCCAGAUUCGAAAAUAACAAGAAAAGGCAAGAAAAGAUGGAAUACCAAAAAGCAAAUGGGAGUUACCUGAAAUAAGGAAAUUAACUCUUAAAAAACUGUUACCUCUUUGUUGUCCACUCUUAUUUAUACUCUCAUGGUAUGAGAGUGGAAAUUCCACCAUGAGUCCAAGCCCAUUUUAUUGGGCUUGGUCCAUGGGUCGAAUUAAUUCGAACCCAUGGGAGAUGAGAGCUUAGUCUGCAUCACAAACACACCACUUCUUACUUCCUAGAACGAGUGGUUCUAGAAUUUCGGAUUCCGACCGUCGGAGUAAAACCGAAAGUGCUACCCUUGGUCGACGAUCUGAGCCUCAGAUUGUCAUUGGAAACAACGCCUGCGGAAGCGGGUAUGGCGCUGGAGAAGGAGGAUCGUACGGCUCCGACACCGCUAAAAUCGACUAGUGGAGGAAGAGAUUUCCUCAGUCUUCUUCUCACUCAUCACGGGAGGAAGAGAUUUCCUCAGAUUCUCAGUCUUUUUUUUUUUUUUUUUUUUUGAAGCAAUUAAAUUUCAUUAGAAUAAGGCUAAUUCCAAGUUUACAAAAACAGAGAAUAGAAAUAAAAAUAGAAGUAAAAAGAAAUGAGCAAAAAGCUCAUUGACUCUCUCCCAUUAGCUAUGUAGUCUAGUUAUACAGUAACUAGAUACGCUGCCUCAGGAGGUUGGUCUCCCAUACUUCCAUCAUAGAUGUCUCCAAAGGGUGACAACAGCUCAGUCUUCUUCUUACUCAUCAAGGGAGGAAGAGAUUUCCUCAAAUUCUCAGUCUUCUUCUUACUCAUCACGCUUUUCCUUUUCUUCAUCAACUCCGAUCUGAGAACCACGCCGAGAUCUUUGUUAUUGUUCCUCUUCGGCGUGGCUACAAGGAUAUUCUCUUCGUCGCCCAUCUUCUUCCACCUCAUCAACCUCUCGUUCCUCCGCGCAACGUACUCAUCGUAGCGCGGUUCUCUCUUGAAGAGAAGAGCGGGCUUUCUUGCCAACUUACAUAGCUCCAGAUAUAAAGCAGGGCACUCUGGAUAGAAAAAUCCGUACUGAUCAUCUUCGCUGAAGAUUUCCAUCCUCGAUCCCGAUGCUGACGAUGAAAUGAUCGUCGGUUUAGGAGAUUCGAUCGGAGGAGAAGGUGAUGCUGAGAUUUCUACAAGAGGAGGAAGAACACGACGGGACCGGAGGCGGCGUGGUGAGAUGACCAACGGACGCUUCCCUCGGAUCUGUUUCAUGGAGCUAUUGGCUGUUUGAUUCAUGGGAAUUGUGGUUCCUUGAGCCCAAUACGUGUAGAUUCCAGCAACUACCCAAUUUACUAUUUGGAUUAUGUCCACAUAUGAAAGGCAUUUCCCUUUCCAUUUGGCUGUCAAUUUCUCUAUAGGUUGUUGUACUAGUUUCCAACAUUGACUUUGAUAUUUCUUCUUUCCUGUAAUCGGGAGACCUAAGUAUAUGAUGGGAAGUUGUUUUUCUUGGAACCCCAGUAUAUUUAUUAAUUGUUCAUCCCCUUGACAAACUUUUGAGAAGAUGGUCAAGCUUUUCCCUCUAUUUAUGCCCAGUCCUGUGAAAUUUCUAAAAUCCUCUAAAAUCUUAUUUAUUGCUUCUAGCGACUUCUUAUUUGCUUUGGAAAAUAGCAAUACCGCAUCCGCAUACAUUAAGUGUGAUAUUGAGGUUACUCCAUUCACUUGAUAUGUAUCGAAAUGUUUUUGUGCAAUUUUCUUCUGUAUUAACCUUGAGAGCACAUUCAUUAUAAGGGUAAUUUGGACAUUGCCCUUAUAAAGGAUGUGAGCAUUGCAUAUGAAUCUUCAUCCUAUAAGAAGCACAAUCUUUCAUAGAUUGAAAUACAAGCUAUACGCUCAUGGAAGUCCAACCUCAAUAUCUUCCAUCCUAUUACAAUUUACACACCUGAUCUGGAUCAGACUCUAGUAAUACCAUGAAGGCAAGAAUUUGGGAUUCAUAACAACCUUUAAAAAACUAAGGCAUGGGGUUUUGACAAUCGUACACAAUUAGGAAUGUAAAUAGAGAGCCAAAAUCUUCUAUACUCUAUGUAAUUUGGACAUUGCCCUUAUUUUUUAAUGAAAUUUAAUUGCUUUCAAAAUAAAAAGUACAUUACUUUUACAAGAAGUAAACUUACAGGAUAUGUAAGACAUCGCAGACAAUGCCACACCACGGUGCAUUGCGGUACAGCAUAUUGCUGCCUUUUGCACAGAUAACUCUAAAACUGAACCAGACGCUACAAGAACUUCCUGAAAAAUUGUAAUAAUUGAAUCUUGGCUAGUCUCAUAUGAAAUAAAAUAACUUGAGAAAGACAUUUAUACAACAAAGGAAACUAAAUAAAGAAAAUGAAAACCUCCGAACAGAAGAACAUGUAUGAAAUUGUGAAGCUCAUAUAAGCUUCCACCAAAUCAGGCAUUUGGUCACAUAUGUUAGAGGAUGUAAGAGCUGUAAUUGACGCUGAUGAUGUAAAUCUAUCAAAUGUAUUAAUAAAUAAAGCUCCAUAUUCCUCUCUAUGGCCAAAUUCUUCAAUGACAACAACAGCUGAUGAACAGCAUCAAUCAAUGAAGCAGAAAUAUAAGAACAAUGUGUAUGGAAAUAUAAAAGAAUAAAUGCGAGCAAAGAAUCUUUUAAGAAAAAUUAGAAGGGUGUGAACCAUCAUACCAAGACCUAUAUCAUUGAUUGUAAAUACACUAUGCCUAAAGACACAAUCCAAGACCUGAGGUGAUCUGUCUCACCUAACACCUGCUACUUGAUUUAUUCUCUCUUAUAGAGAGACAGUCCCUAACUCUAGACUAAGUGAAAACGUUCUUGAGGACUUCUUUUGUGUUAUGGUAUUGAUGCAUGUCAUAAAAAACCCACUAGCGACUUAUCCACUCAAUAUUAAAAAACUCAGGGAUGCCCAUAAAUAUUAUAUGCAUCAAUAUUCAAUACUAUUAAUAAAGUACUUUACUUUUACUUUGUUGUUAGUAAAGAAUAACCACUAUUCAAUGGACAAUAAAUUAGCGAAUAGAAAAUAAAAUCACCUAGGCCUGCCAAUAAAUUAAAUGGAAAACUACCCAUAAAUUAUCUAGGUCUGCCAAUAACAGGGAAAAUAAAAUCCUACAGUCAAUGUUGGAAGCUCAUACAACCCAUUGAGAAAGUGUGACUAGAUGGAAAGAAAAAUACCUAUCAUAUUUUUUUUUGAAGCAAUUAAAUUUCAUUAAAAUAAGGCUAAUGCCAAGUUUACAAAAAAUAGCGUAUAGAAAUAGAAACAGAAGUAAAAAGAAAUGAGCAAAAAGCUCAUUAACUCUCUCCCAUUAACUAUGUAGUCUAGUUAUAUAGUAACUAGAUACGCUGCCUCAAGAAGUUGGUCUCCUAUACUUCCAUCAUAGAUGUCUCCAAAGGGUGACAACAACUCUUCUUGUAAUACACUGAAUCAAAGAAGAGACUGAUGUCUUUAAUGACCUCCUUAAGGACUACCUCAGGAGGCCUACUAAUGUGUUGUCUAUAUCUUUUAUUUCUUUCCGUCCAUAUAUGCCACACGACAAGCACCCAGUAGCAUUCCAUAUUAGCCCUCAAGGGAGAGAGUGGCACGUAAUCUUUUGUGCUACCUUCGUCAGAUCCCCCAAUCUAAUAUCUGGACUGGAUUGGGUGGGAACUGGAAUAUUCAUUAUUUCCCAGAAAGCGAAAUCCAGGUGUUCCGUCAACGGAAUUAAGAGAGAUCUGGAAUAAGAACUGUUAAAGAAAAGAUGACUCCUAGUUUCAUUUUCCAGAUUGCAUAAUAAGCAAACAGGAGGCACUUGUACUCUCCAACUCCUCAGCUUCUUGAACGUGUUUAGGUGAUCCCAUUUCACCCUCCACAAGAAAAUAGAGAAUUUUUUCGGCAUCUUCGACCAAAUUCCCUCAGCUAAUAUAUCUUUAUGCUUUUUAUCUUUAAUACUUUCCACUAUUCCCCCCAACUUACUUAUCGGAGUACCAGAUCUCCACACAAUCGUACUAUUGACCCUACAAUCCAAACAGUUAUUCACUAAGCUUCUUUCUGAAACAAAAGCUUUCCAAAAAUACGAAUCCACAAUAUGCCUGAUUUGUAUAUCAUCAAGCGCCUUUCCUUUAAUAUACCUAUCUUGGAUCCAUUUUACCAGAAUAGAGUCACUCCUAUCCCAGUACUUUGAAGCUCUUUUAAUAUUGGUUGCAGUGGUGAUAAUAGGAAGGUUUCUAACUCCUAGACCCCAUUUCGCCUUGGGAAGGACCAUUUGGGCCCACGGGAUCCCUUUACUCAAAAAAAAUAAAAUAAUUAAACAUAGACCACAUAUGGACGGAAAGAAAUAAAGCCCAUCUAUCCUUUGUUGUAGCACAUCCGUUAAUGGCACUAGGAAAGAGGCCAUUUCCUUUAAAUCAAACAUGGACCAAAAACCCAUUUCCUUUAAAGAAAGCCCAUCAUUACAUGGAGAGUAUAUAUAUGGAGGAUAGAGGAUGGAAUCGGCAGUUUUUGAUUUAUUUGCUGAAGUUGUUAUUUCCUAGACAGGUAACAAACCUUUUAUCUUCUCUUUCUUUUCUCUUGUAUUUUCUGGUGGAUUCCAGUGUUUUUCCCUCAGCUUCUGUGGAUUCAGAAGAUUUAUCAAGCAACUGAUCUUCACUAAGAUCAGCUGUAUCAGAUGGUAUCAGAGCCAGAUUUUCGGAACAUUGUUUUCAGGGUUACUGUUCAUCAGAAUAGUGUUUUCGAGGUUACUGUUCAUCGGAACAGUGUUUUCGGGUUACUGUUCAUCGCGGAACAGUAACUGUUCAUUUCGGAUUAUUAAAAAAACGCAAAGCUUAAGCUUCAACUUCUAGGCUUGAAGCAAUCCGAUUCUGCAAUGGAGGUACGACAUCAACAUUCCCAGCAGUACAAGGACAAUUUCGCUUAGGAUGGGGAGAGGAUGAUUAGGAAGAACGCAGAGCUUGAAGAUUUUGUUGACUUCCUGGAAAUGGAGUUGGACGAGAAGACCAAGGAGAUCAAGCUCCUAAAAUCUGAUCGACGGUGUUUGCGCAAGGAGGUGAAGUUACUGGAAGAGAAAAGGUAUGACUUAGAACAAAUUAUCUCAGAUUAGGAAUCUGCAAAGGUUACACUAAAUAACCUUGCACAGCGUAAUAAGUCUCUUGAAGAAGAGUUAACAAAGUCAAGAAAUGAGGCGAUGGAUUAUAAAAAAAAUUUUCAGGAAAGCUCUGAUUUGCUACAGGCAUCUGAAGAUCUUUCAAGGAAGCUAUAUGGGGAGAUAUCUGAUUCAGUGUGUGCUGUCUCUAUUGCUGGAAAAAAGGUAGCUGUUGCUGAAGCCCGAUUAUAUGAUUCGGCAAGGUGGAAGACGUGAGUUGUUUUAAACAAUCAGAAGGACAGAUUUCAGUAGCCACUGGUGGUAAUCAUUUGGCCUAUCUGGAAAUCAGUAUUGAACUAUUGAUAAGUUAAAUGAAACUGUUGGAAUGUGGACAGACAAAACUGUCCAGAUUUUUUCAAGGGAAGCUAAAGGGGCUGUUUACUCAUUAAAUGAUUUUCUCACACUAGAUAUCUUUUCUCUUUAUGUACUCCCCGAUUAAUUUCCAUUUUAAUGGACUCGAACUUUAUAAAAAAAAGGCUUUUCAUAUCAUGGACUGACAAUUAGUGAAAAUUGGGGCUACAGUUAUGAGAGUCAAAGGUAGGGGUAAGAACGGGGCGUAAACAAAAGGAAAUUUGGGGUUUCCCCGUCCGAGACCCACCCCGAAAAACUGGUCAGCGGGCCUCGCGAGCAGGAUCAAAAUCCUGUCCCGACCCCAUUCCUAUCAGGAUGCGGAACGCGGUGGACCUGAGGCGACCCGGACCUGUUUUCACCCCUAGUUAAAAGGUAGCAUGUUUAAAUAUAAAUUAUGGAUAAUUUUUACAAAAAACAAUAAGCUUCUAAAUUUAUCCAACCUGUUCUGACAUAACAAUCAUUGCUUUGGAAUGAUAAAAAAUUCGUAGACAAGCAAUCGAGAACUGUAGGUAUCAUCAUCAGAAAAUGCUGACCUGUAAAAAAAAAUCAUAUAAUUGUUUCAAAGGAUCAAAAUAUAGAGGAACUUUUAUUUAUUUUUGAUGCAAAGGAACUUUUAUUUUGAUAAGAUUAAAAGUUCUAUUAAAUGGAAAGACAAAACCUGUGAUGUACAAUAACAAGUAAUAAUAUUCGGAAUAAACUAGUUCAUUGUUAAAAUCCUUAGAAGAAAUGUAUGAUGAAGCAUUGUAGUAGAUGCUUGCAUCUCUCAGAAGUCAGAACUUCCCUUUUGUCUCUCUUUCUCUUUAGCUAUUAGUAGCCUUAAUGUGUGCUAUUUCUUUCUUUUCAAAUGUGCCAACUGCCAAGAAAGAGAGGCCAGAAUGGUCCAAUGUAUACCCCCCAAUACGUAGCCAUGUGUGUGAAUUUCUCCACUGCCUCUAUUACGUCACCCAAUCUUAUGUCCCCAAAUAGUUGUUAUAGAUAUGUUCUAAAUUCUCCAGAUAGUAGAGUUCAGAGCUUUUGUGUAGGUAAGUUGCAGUUGUCUGGUGUAUGGGCAGUUAAAGUAUAGGUGGCUGAUUGUUUCUCCAUCUCCCUUGUUUUAGCCUUUUGUUUCAUUCAGACUAAGUGUGUCAAGCUAAAAAACCCAAAAGCAUUCCAAUGCAGAUCUUGUUGUAAUUGACAAAAACUAGGUCAUCUAGUAGAUCUACAUAUAUCCGGUUUCUACUCUUAGUGUGAAACUGUCAUUGAUAAUUGGACAUCAAGGAUUAUUCUAUCAAUGCAAUCCAUGAAGGCUUCCUCAUAUGCAUUUGCCUUUCAUUGAAGUGCCCAUAUUCAUUAUUCAAGUAGGCAUAUUAGACACGACAUGUUUAUUAGAUAUGAUAACACAAAUACAUAUUAUAUAUAUGCACCCAGCUUCAGGUGCGGACGUCCGCAUUUGAAGCUCGCUGCGGUCCAUCGUCGGAUGGACCGUAUUUCCCAUCCCACGACACCUCACUGCAAUCGGGAACGACAGCGAGGAACCCAUCGCGGUUCGUGCCUCUUGCGGAACCGAUGGACGAACACAAUCGGGAAUCGGCGAAUCGCGAUGGGUUCCAGAUCGGCAUAAGGAACCCAUUGCGGUUCGUCCGCAGUCAUCCGUAUUGGGGAUGAACCGUAUGGGAAAUGGAUUCUAUAUAUAUAUAUAAUUUAAAUAAAUAAAAUUAAUCCUAGUAUCACUUGAGUUAUAAUUAUUAAUUUAAAUAAAUAAGUGUAUAAUAUUAUUAUUAUUUUUAAUAUAUUAAAUGGGUUUUUUGUCCUUUAUGGGUUGAAAUUUUAAAAUAAACAUAAAAUAAUCAAUUAAUUUUUUAGUUGAAAAUAUAUUAGAUAGAAAAAAUUAUUAUAAAUUUAUAAUUCAAGUAUUUAUUAUAAUACCCUAUAGUUUAUUAUAACAUAUAAUACAUGUACACUUUAUUUAGUCCGACAUCGAUAGGAUAUAAAAAGUGUAAAGAAGGUUAACCUAUAAAUAAAGAUUCUAUUUGUCUAAAAAAACAUAAAGUAUUGAGAGUGGAAGGAGCUUAUAUUAAAAAUAAUAUAAUUCUUUCCAUGGGGACCAAUGUAUAAAUUUUUGACAUAAAUAUGUUUAUAAAAUUUAUAAGGUCUUUAGAUUAAAUUUAUUUAUUUUUUCAUGUCAGUCAUGUCGUGUCAACACGGAUUCGGUCGUGUCGUUUUCGUAUCAAUUUUUUUUGACACGGGUCGUGUUCGUGUGACACGAAUAGCCUGACCUACUUUAAAGAACUAACAUGCACUUAGCGAUCUCCAUCCUAACUUGUGACGGUGCCUUGUUACACUUAGCAGUACCCAAUUUUCCACCGAACAGAUUUAUCUCGACGAUACGAAGCUUCACACGAUGAAUUCCACCCCUAGAUAGAAAACAAUAAAUCAAGCAUCUCACUGACAUUGUCGUUCCUGUUUUCCAUUUUGGAAUGAAAGCCCCCUAUUCCAUGUUGGGUCUUCCGCUCUUCCUAAUGUUCUGGACAACCCUUCAGAUUCAAAAAAAAUUUGUCGAUUGACUAAUGUAAAUUUGAGGAUCAACUUUCAGUUGACUAUCAUUCAGAACAAUCCUCAAUGACAUCAAGUCGCUCAUUGUUUUUUUAUGCAAUUAAGUUUUUCAUUGAAAAUGAAGGGUUGUACCCUGAGAGUUGCAAUGGAAAAAGCAAAAACAAUACAAAUAUGUAAAUGAGCAUUAAGAUUUAAGCUCUUCUAGACUCUUUCCACUCAGCCAUGUUAUCUGAUGGUUUCAGAUUAUCUGCCUCUGGAGGUUGGUCUCCCAUAUUUGCAUUGUGUUGGUCUCCAAGGAAUGACAACAGUUUUUCCUGAAGCAUUUAGGCUUGAAGGAGAAACUGAUGUCCUUGACGACUUCUUUGAGCAGUACUUCUGGUGACCUGAGGGUGUGUUGUUUCCAUCUUCGAUUUUUUUUUGUUCAGAUAUGCCAACACAAAGUGCCCAAUGCAUUCCAUAAUAAACCCUAAAUUGGCGAAUGAUGUGUUAGUUUUUGACAAGCAUAAGAUCUCCUAGCCUGAUAUCUGGGUGUUUUGUGGUGGGAUAAAAAAUCCAAAACCGGUAGCCGGUUAGUUGAAGCGGGUUGGUGGGUCGGCGGAUGGGGUCUGACCCGUAUCCGACCCAAAUACCCGACCCAUUUUUUAAGACAAUUUAUUUUAAGAUCAAAAAUUUAUUUUAAGGCCAAAAAUUUAUUUUUAUGCCAAAAAUUUAUACAUUGGUCCAUGAAAAAAGUUAUAUUAUUUUUUAAUAAAAGCUCCUCCCACUCUUAAGAGUUAAGACUUCAUGUUUGUUUUAGACAAAAUGAAUCUUUAUUUAUAGACCUCUUAAGACUUCGUAUUUGUUUUAGACAAAAUGAAUCUUUAUUUAUAGACCAACCUUCUUUCUGUUUUUUAUAUUCUAUCGAUGUGGGACUAAAAAUGUGUAGUUAAAUAAAUUAUAAAAUUUUGUACUUUUUGAAUUCUAUCAAUGUGUACAUGUGUUAAAUAAAUAUUCUAUAACACAUGUACACUUUAUUUAGUCCCACAUUCAUAGAUUUCAAAAAGUACAAAGAAUAUUUUAUAAUUUAUUUAACUACACUUUUUUAGUCCCACAUCGAUAGAAUUCAAAAAAUACAAAGAAGGUUAGUCUAUAAAUAAAGAUUCAUUUUGUCUAAAACAAAACAAAUAUGAAGUCUUAAGAGUGGGAGGAGCUUUUGUUAAAAAUAAUAUAGCUCUUUUCAUGGACCAAUGUAUAAAUUUUUGGCCUUAGUGAAUUUAUGAAGAAAAAAAAUACGAAAAUACCCCUACCGGUUAACCACCGGUUAAAACCGGUCAGCCAGAACUGGUUACCGGUUAACCGGUUUUUAAACCUUGUAAUCAAUAUAUCAUUGAGGGACUGGGCUAGUGAGAGUAGGAUGGUUCUAGAGUAAAAUGCAAUUGAAAAAUAGUUGGCUUCUUGUUUCAUUCCCUGCAUUGCAGAGGAUGCAGGUCGGUUAUGUAUGGGCAUGCCCCAUCCAUUUAGUCUGACAAAGAUGUUAUCCUCCAACCAUAAGUAGGAUCAUGACGAUUUUCAUUAGUGCCAUUUUCUAAACUCUGAAAAAUAAUGAAAUCAAAAAAAAUUUAAUUAAACUAAAUGAAAGUAUGAGACAAAUCAAUAAAUGGACAGAGGAGGCUUCAGACACUUUUCAGAAGUUAAAAAAAACUACAAAGUACAAACAGCACCCGUGUUAGCUUUGCCAGACUUCACAAAGAUUUUUAAGGUUGAGUGUGAUGCCAGCAUCUGUGGAGUGGGAGCAGUGCUAAGUCAGAAUGGUCACCUGGUGGGAUUCCAUACGAAAAACUCACCGCCAGCAGAAAGAAAUGGACCACCAAUGAGUAGGAGUUAUAUGUGUUGUCAGGGCCUGCAAAGUAUGAGAACCGUAUUUAAUCCAGAGAGAGUUUGUAGUUCUCACUGAUCAUAGAUUCAGAAUUGAAGCAAAUUAAUGGAACAUCUGAUGCAAACAGAAUGUAUAGCAGAUGGUUCUUCUUCUUACAGAUAUUCGAGUUCACAAUGAAGCAUAGAUCUGGCAUAAGUUAUAAGGUGGCUGAUGCCUUAAGCAGGAAAAUCUCUUUGUAAACAGUUUUGAGAUUAGAGGUGGUAGCCUUUGAUUGCUUAAAAGAGUAGUAUCAUACUGAUGAAAUUUUUUCUGUUAUUUAGGAUGAAUGCCUUCAGAAGAAGCACAACAAAGGCUUCAAAAUUAGUGAGGGAUUCUUAUUCAAAGAAAACAGACUAUGCAUUCUCCUCAGACUUCUUUAAGAUUACAACUGAUCAAGGAUAUACACUCGGGAGGACUAGCUGGUCAGCUCAGGAGGGACAAGACAUUAGCCCAGGUAGAGAUCAGAUAUUAUUGGCCAGGAAUUAAAAAGGAGUUAGAAUGAUUUGUUCAGACUUCAGAGGUGCCCUAGAUGUCAAAAAGCAAAGGGCACACAUCAAAAUAGUGGUCUUUAUACCCCUUUACCUGUACCUAAGGAACCAUGGGCUGAUCUUUCUAUGGAUUUUGUUUUAGGGUUACCUAAAACUAGUAGAGGAUUGGAUUCCAUUUUUGUGAUGGUUGACAGAUUUUCAAAAAUGGUCCACUUUAUCCUUUGCAAGAAGACUAAUGAUGCUUCUCACAUAGCAAAGUUGUUCUUCAAUGAAGUUAUAAGACUUCAUGGUAUUCCGAUAAGCAUUGUAUCAGAUAGGAACACAAAAUUUCUCUCAUUUAUAAAGAAUCUUAUGGAAAAGAUUUGACACGAAUUUGAAAUUCAGUUCCACAUGUCAUCCACAAUCUGAUGGUCAGACAAAAGUUGUCAAGUAACUUGGUAAUCUGUUGAGAGUCCUAGCAGGAAAACACCCAAAACAGUGGAACCAGCAUUUAGCUCAAGCAGAAUUUGCCUUCAAUAGUAUGCCAAAUAGAUCAAUUGGUUGUGCACCAUUUGUGGCUGCCUAUAGACACCUUCCAAAAAAUAUAAUGGAAGUCACCUCUACACCAUCAGCGAAUAGGAAGGUGGAAGAUAUUAUAGAAUUCAGCAAACUAAUACACAAGCAAGUAGAGGAAUCAAUUGCCAGGGCUAAUGAUCUAUAUAAAGAAAGAGCUGACAGAUCUAGAAGAUUUCAGACUUUUGAAGAAAGUGAUCUGGUAAUGGAUCAUCUUAAGAAAGAUAGAUAUCCAGUGGGGUCAUAUUCAAAGCUGAAGGAUAGAAAUUUUGGACCUUGCAAAGUACUAAAGAAGAUCAGCGACAAUGCUUUCAUCAGAGAUCUUCCUCUAGAGUUCAACAUGUCAUCAACAUUUAAUGUGGCAGAUUUAAGAAAAUAUUUUCCACCCACAGAAGAAGACAACCAAUUGGACUUGGACUCUCAUGAUGGACUUUCCACUCUAUACCAUGAUAGUAUAAAAUAUGAGUGGACCCAAGGAGGAAGGAUUAGUUGAGAUUUUUACAAGGUAAUUUCUCCACUCAAUCUCUCUCUUAUUUCUAUCUUAAUCAUAGUUUUUAAAGCGUCGCUUUAAUAGCUUAAAGCGGAAAAGCGCUCCUAGGGGAGCGCUUUCUAAAUCGCUUUUUUUUAGGUGGGUAAGUGGGUCGGGUCGAGUCAUGACGUAUAAUUAGCCACUGAAAUCUCCAGAUUCAAAGAAAUCUGUCGUAGAAACCUCCACCAUCGUCUAUCUUCCCCAUCUGUCAUAGAAACCCAACAGACUUCAACAUCUCAAGAGGCAGUGACAGACCCAAUUCGGUGGUGGUCGUGAAAAGAUUCAAAGAUCUGGAGAUGGAGAACUGAAGUUAGAUGGAUGGAUAGAGAGAGAGAAGAGGGGGGAGAGAAUGAUAAUAGUAGUAAUUGAAGUGGAGAACCGCAGCAGGACAGAAACAUACAUCUUUAUUCUUUACACGUACGUACGUACAAGUAAAGAUGUACAGGUACAGGGGUUACAGGCUUACAAGGGUUACAGCCUGUACAAGAGAGAAUAAGAAUCUCAUGGGUUACAGGGGCUGUAACAAGUAAAGAGAAUAAGAAUCUUGUACACAAAAAAUUAUAUACAGGGGUAUAUAUGGAUUUUUAAAAAAAAAAUUGUAUAUAUUUACAAAAUUGCCACUAUCGCUUUUUUAGCUUUAAGCACGUUAAAGCGCUUAAAGCUAAAAAAGCGCUCCCUGGAAAUUGGGAGCGCUUUAAGCUUUUUAAAACUAUGAUCUUGAUUACUCUCGUUAUUUCUUUAUUACCCUGAAACCUUCCUUCUCUGAUUAUCCGUGUACUUGAUAAUCCUUAGAAGAAUUUCCUGAUUGAACCUGAUAGAAUCCAGCCUUCAGUCGUCCCUGUUUUGGCAUCAGAAAACUCCAGAGACAACCGAUCUCUUGUAAUCUUCACAUGUUCUUCAAAUCGGUUCACAUCCUACAAUUAAUAAUAAAGGGAGACAUAUCUAUUGUAGUUUUUUUAUAUACCUUCUUGUUUUUUCCUUAAUGAAAAAAAAAGUAAAUAUUAUGGACAGAUAAAAAUUACAUAUUUACAAUUUUGAAUUUACAUGAGUACCGGAAGAUUUAACAGCUUGAGAAAGAGCCUUGCAUGCAGCAGCUGUGAGAUUUCUAUUCUCCAUAUGCACUGAUUUAAAAAGCUUCUCAAGAAGUGGCCAAAAUAAAUUUAGUAAAACCACAAUGGUAGAAUCAUCAAAAUACCCCAACGAGAGAGAGGUACUUAAAUGACUAAAGACAAUUCCCAUCCUGAAGAAAUAUAAAACAAAAUUCAAAUACUGAAUAAAUGGACUUUAAUAUACAGAUUAAUCAUUUCAUCUUCCAUGAGAAGAACUAUCAUUUAUAUCCAAAAUCCAAGAUUCAUUAUUACAUUCAAUAUUUUUUUUUGCAAAGGAUAAAAUUUUUAUUUUCAAAAAUCGAAGAAGAUUACAAGAAAUAUAUACAAUAUCCUCUUCCCAUAAAGAGAAGUGGUAUUCCCACCUUUAAUUGACAUCUGCACUAUGUCUAAACCGAUGUUAAAAGUAAGGAUCUAGCUACUAUUAGUGACGCUUGACCACAAAGUCCUCAAAGGGUUAAUGUAUUUAAUAUUUUAACUCUGAUGUAGCCCACCACAUUAAUUUAACUGGUCAUUGGCUCGAACCAAGACUAUGUCCAUUUAUUUGGACAGACCAUCUCUUAUUGUAGAUUUUCCACUCUCACAGAAUGAAAGUAUAAAUAUGAGUGGACCUGGAUGGUGGAGUUACACUAGUUAUUUAUACUUUGUUCCUUGUGAGAUCAUCAUGACUCCAGCCUAUCUUUUAGAGCAUACAUCUUUAAGAAAAGUUGUGGCUCGUAAAUGGAGGAGAUAACAAUGCAGGUUUGGGAGACAAACCUCUAAAGACACAAUAUGUUCAGUUAAUAGAUCACUAAAUGUAAUUUCUAGAUAAAUGUUUGGAUUGUAGAGCUAAUAGCACUGCAGUUUGGAGAUCCGGUACUUCUAUAAAUAAGUUGAGGGGAAUUGUGGUAAGCAUUAGAGAUAGAAGUCAUAAAGACUUAUUAGCAAAGGGAAUUUGGUCAAAUAUGCCAGAAAAAUUCUCUAUUUUCCUAUGGAAAGUGAAAUGAGAUCAUAUAAACACUUUCAGAAAAUUGAGGAGUUGGAGAGUGCAAGUACCAUAGUUUUUAAAGCGACGCUUAAAGCUAUUAAGGCGUCGUAAAGCUAUUAAAGUUGGAGGUUAAUAAAUAUUUUGGUUCCCACCCAAACAAGUCUGGAUAUAAGAUUGGGGGAUCUCACGGAGGCUGCACAAAAAUUCAUACAUCACUCCUCCCUUGGGGACUACUCUGGAAUGUCAUUGAGUGCUUGUCGUGGCAUAUUUGGACAAGAGAAAUAAAAGAUAUAGACAACACUCUAGAAGGUCUCAUGAGACAGUCCUUAAGGACAUCGGUCUCUCCUUUGGAUGACACAACUCACAAGAAGUGGUGUUGUCACCUUUUAGAGAUAUCAACGAUUGAAGUAUGGGAGAUUAAUCUCUUGAGACAGCGUAUCUAGUUACUAUAUAACUAAACUACAUACCUAAUAGGAGAGAGUCAUUGGGUUUUUUGCUCAUUUUUAUUUACUUCUAUUUCUCUUUCUAUUCUCUAUCAUUUUAUAACAUGGGCAUUUCCCUUCAUUUUUAAUGGAAGAAUUUAAUUACUUAAAAAAAGUAAUUGCUAGAUAGAAGUCGAUAAGCAACAACUCAUCCCCCAAUUUUCUUUGUAUUCUCUCUCCCUCCAUAUAUGUCAUAUGGAGACUUCUACGACCAUCAAUGGUGUUUAACUAAAAAACCUAAAAUUCUGAGUAGACUCGUGUCCUCUUUCUACAUCUUGGCAACCUAGGGAGAAAUGACAAGAAAAAUUUGAAUGACAUAGAAGUAAACAAAAAGUACCAGCUAGGUUUUGCAUGUAAAAGUAAAAAAAAUAUUAGAUACAUAAUCCGAAUCAUUUGACGACAACAAACCUAUAAAGACCUUUGACAGCAGCAUUUAAGAAUUGUAUAUAAGCAGCAGGAUUGUUUCUCAAAGAAUUCUCUUUAUCAACAUCUGUCUGAAAAAUAUAAAAUAUUCAGUUGGGCUUUCCAGCCUUGGAUCAUUAUCUGCAUUUAUCUAAAAAGUGUGAUAGCAUGUGACAUCAACUCUAGAGAAUGAAGCCUAUGAAGGUAUAUUGAACAUGAAAAAUGGUACAAACAAAAUUUCAACAAGCCAAACUAGAGAUAUGCAAAGCCACUGUAUCCAAUGUAUUCAAAAUGGUUUUUCAGCAAUCAAUAUUGACGGUCUAAAGAACGCCAAUAUUAAGGUUUGCUGCUUGUAUUUACUAACAAGUUAAAUUAUUAACAAAAAAUAAAAUAAAUAGAGAAAAUCAACUUGGUCAAAAAAUAACCUUUACAUGAUGAUUUGGUAAAUAACCAUAGCCUGAUAGAAAGAAAACAAUUGUAUCUCUAUCAAAUUAAUUUAUCUUGUACAGUACAUCAACAAAGUUUUUUUUUUGAUAAAAUUAAAUACCAUUAAAAUGGGAAUAAAAAGAUGAAUUAGUAUUGGAGCAGUCAGCAGUCCUAAAUCAAGGAGGUCAUCCUGUGGCCUUUUUCAGUGAAAAAUUGGCAGAAUGCAGACAAAAGUGGACAACAUAUGAGCUGGAAUUUUAUGCAGUAGUGAGAGCUUGCCAAACUUGGAAACACUAUCUGCUAUAAAGGGAAUUCAUUCUUCAUACAGACCACCAAGCAUUGAAACAUAUCAAUAAUCCAUCUUCCACAAACAGAAUGCAUGCUAAAUGGAUAGCUUUUCUGCAAAGAUUCGUGUUGACAGUUCAACACAUGGCUGAGGUGCAAAACAGAGUAACUGUUGCCUUAAGUAGGAGGACUCACAGCUUAACAAUUCUGAAAAUAUCAGUUCCAGCAUUUGAGAGCAUUAAAGAACUGUACCCUGAGGAUGAUGAUUUUAAAUUUAUUUGGGGUGACUUACUGACUGUUGGGAAGUCAAGAAAAAUUUCAGAUUUGACAUGAAAGAGGGAUUUCUUUAUUUUGACAACAGAUUAUGCAUCCCUAGACAAGGUUCCGGGUGCGCGCGCAUAUGCGAUGAUGCGCCCCCAGAGGGAGAUGCGCCAGACGCAUCUCCCUUAGCCGGAUCCGGGUCGGAUCCGGGUAAAAUCCGACCCGGAUCCAGGCCUGUUUUAAGUUAUUUAAAUAACUUAAAACAGUGUUUUGUUUUUAUUUUAUCCAAUAUAUUUUUAACUAAAAAAUUUAAUUAAUAUAAUUUAGAUAUAUAAAAAAAUAUUAAUUUCCUAUAGUUUUAUAAAUAUUUACGAAAAUGCCACUGGCGCAUCUGAGCGCAUAUGCACGCAUAUGCUCAGAUGCUCCAGGCGGCGGCGCAUCGCGCAGAGGCGCAUCUGGAACCUUGUCCCUAGAUCAUCUAUUAGAUUGAAAAUAAUAGAAGAAAUUCAUGGAAAUGGUUUGGGAGGCUAGAUUACAGGUAGAUGUUAGAUUUUAUUGGCCAAAGUUAAAAAGAGAUGUAGUAAGAUUUGUGUAGCAGUGUCAGGUAAGCAAAGGUACUUAGUAGAACACUGGGCUUUAUACCCCACUUCCAGUACCUAAUACACCUUGGAAGGAUAUAUCUAUGGACUUUGUAGUGGGAUUACCUAGAACUUAAGGUCAGAAUGAUUCUAUUUUUGUGGUGGUGGAUAGAUUUUCCAAAAUAGCACAUUUCAUACUAUGUAGGAAAACCAAUGAUGUCAGCCAAGUAGCACUCUUAUUUUUCAGAAAAGUAGUCAGAUUACAUGGGGUUCCUGCUUCAAUCACAUCAGAUAGAGACUCAAAGUUUCUGUCCCACUUUUGGAGAGAAUUGUGGAAGAGGUUGACCACUGACCUAAAGUUCAGUCCUGAGAAGUCUAGCUGGUUCAAAACCAAAACAGUGGGACAGGGUGCUUCCUUAAGCAGAGUUUGCUUAUAAUUUUAUGCCUAAUAGAUCAACAAGGUUGGCUCCUUUUGUAGUAGUUUAUGGGAAACUUCCUCCUUAACCUAUGGAUUUAUCAUUGGCAGUGUCAAAUUCCAAGGUAGCUGAAAUGUUAGAUGAUAUCACUAUAGUCCACAAAUGGGUCAGAAAUAAUAUUGAAUUUGGAUAUGUGUCCUAUAAAGAGAGAGAUGGUCAGUCUAAGAGAUUUCAGAGUUUUAAACAGGGGAAUUUUAUGAUGGUACAUUUAAUAAAAGGAAGAUUUACUCAAGGAACCUACUCCAAAUUGAAAAAUAAAUUUUUUGGCCCAUGAGAGAUCAUCAAAAAAAUCAGCGACAAUGCGUAUAAAGUGGAUCUGAGAAGAUACUUCCCACCACUCUCUGAAGGGUAUUCUCAUAAUUUCGUGGAAGCUAGUUGGAGGCAGAGUCUGGCCUAAGGCCCACUAAAUUCCCUAAACGAUCCAUCUUAAUUAUCUCCACUAAUUUUAUUUUUUUUGAAAGCAAUUAAAUUUCAUUAAAAAAUAAGGCUAAUGCCCAGUUUACAAAAAUAGAGUGUAAAAAUAACAACAGAAGUAAAAAGAAAUGAGCAAAAGCUCAUUGACUCUCUUCCAUUGUAUCUCCACUAAUUAAGAUGGAUAUAAAUAGGAGAAUAAGUGGAGGAAUAAAGUAUUUUUUAUGAUUAUUCUGAAUUUACCUUUUUAUGUUUGUCUUAUUCUCUUCUCUUGAUCUACUUUUCUUACUAUCGUUCUUUCCUUUGGAAUUUCUAGAUAUAGAUGUCUUUUUCUUUGUGAACAAUCAAUCAAUCCUUGAUUGAUUGAUUUCUCUCUUAGUUAGCGUGAUAUCCUUAAUCACUAAUGCCCUAGCAUCUGGAGGCAACAUAAAAGAUGAGGGGUCUAAAGUAUAAUAAUUUUUUAAGAUAUGGAUAAACUUGAAGAUUUCUAUAAAAUUAUUUUUGGAAUAUAAUUACUUACAAGUUUCUCAAGUGCAGUAUAACUAGAAGAAAGAAGCCUUGUUAAUGAAUUAUUCUGCAGUUGUUUGUCAGAAAAAGAUUCAAGAAUAACCAUUAUCGCAGCAACAACACAUUUCUCUUCUUCCAGUGCCAAGUUGUUUUUAUCUAAGUUCUAGAAGAAGAAAACCAAUUAAACAGAUAUUAAAAAACACAUAUACUUAUCGAUAUGAGUAUGUAUAAUAGACUUUUUUUUUUUUGAAGCAAUUAAAUUUCAUUAGAAUAAGGCUAAUGCCAAGUUUACAAAAAUAGAGAAUAGAAAUAAAAAUAGAAGUAAAAAGAAAUGAGCAAAAAGCUCAUUGACUCUCUCCCAUUAGCUAUGUAGUCUAGUUAUACAGUAACUAGAUACGCUGCCUCAGGAGGUUGGUCUCUCGUACUUCCAUCAUAGAUGUCUCCAAAGAGUGACAACAACUCUUCUUGUAAUACACUGAAUCAAAGGAGAGACUGAUGUCUUUAAUGACCUCCUUAAGGACUACCUCAGGAGGCCUACUAGUGUGUUGUCUAUAUCUCUUAUUUCUCUCCGUUCAUAUAUGCCACGACAAGCAUCCAAUAGCAUUUCAUAUUAACCCCCAAGAGGGAGAGUGGCGCAUAAUCUUUUGUGCUGCCUCCGUUAGAUCCCCUAAUCUAGUAUCUGGACUGGAUUGAGUAGGGACUGGAAUGUUCAUUAUUUUCCAGAAAGCGGAAUUCAGGUGUUUCGUCAACGGAAUUAAUAGAGAUCUGGAAUAAGAACAGUUAAAGAAAAGAUGACUCCUAGUUUCAUCUUCCAUAUUACACAAUAAGCAAACGGAAGGCACUUGUACUCUCCAACUUCUCAGCUUCUUGAACGUGUUUAGAUGAUCUCAUUUCACCCUCCACAACAGAAUAGAGAAUUUUGUCGGCAUCUUCGACCAAAUCCCCUCAGCUAACAUGUGUUUAUGCUUUCUAUUUCUAAUACUUUCCACUAUUCCCCCCAAUUUAUUUAUCGGAGUACCAGAUCUCCACACAAUCGUACUAUUGACCCUACAAUCCAAACAUUUAUCCACUAGGCUUCUUUCUGAAACAAAAGCUUUCCAAAAAUGCGAAUCCACAGUAGGCCUGAUUUGUAUAUCAUUAAACGUCUUUCCUUUAAUAUACCUAUCUUUGAUCCAUUUUACCAGAAUAGAAUCGCUCCUAUCCCAGUACUUUGAAGCUCUUUUAAUAUUGGUUGCAGUAGUAAUAAUAGGAAGGUCUCUAACCCCUAGACCCCCUUCUGCCUUGGGAAGGACCAUUUGGGCCCACGGGAUCCCUUUCCUUCCGUUCCAUAUAAAUCUAUAAGCUAACCUUCUCACCUUCUUAGCCACAGAGUCAGGAAUAGUCAUACCUUGCUCCCAAUAAGUAUACUUUUCAACUAUUAUCCAGUUAACUAGUUGUAUUCGCCCUCUAUAGGAAAGACAUUUCCCACUCCAUCUUGCUAAGAGCGCCUCUAUAGACUGGAUUAGUUUCCAGCACUGUCCAAAUGACUUUUUCUUUCCCGUGAUUGGUAACCCUAGAUAUGUUAUAGGUAGACUUUUAACAGUAUAUCCUAAGAUAUUAUGCAAAGAUUGAUUUUCUGCCAACUUUGUUGUUGACUUCAAAUAAAUUGAAAAGUUAAAAGUUAAAGGUAUUAUAAAGUAUCCUGAUGAUGAAUUCAAGAAUACUUAUUGGUUUAGUAAGUUUUGUUAAACAUUAUAUUUUUAACUAGGUGUCUUCUUGAUGACAAGACUUAAGAUGGUGAUAUUGUCUAGUCUAGGUCAUAUCAAAGAUAACAACCAAACAUAGAGCAAUAUGCCAAUAUAUGAUUUAUUGAAAUAAUAUAUAAUCUAAAAUAGUUUAUGAUAAAAAAAAAUUGAAAGCAAUAAAUUUUUCCAUUGAAAUACUAUGAUAAUUAUCGAUUAUACGGUAUAAUUUCUACCGAAAAUAGGUAGUACUGGUCGAGAUAAAUAACAAAUUGUCUGAAUUAGAUCUCUCAUGGGAGAAUAGGAAAAGAUUGCUAUCUAUAUCCUUUUUUUUAUAAAGAUUAAAUUUCAUUAGUAAAUGAAGUGGGCCUUACCGAGAGUACAUAACAUAAAUAAUUAUAUAGAUAUAUAAAAUAGGAGAACGUGUUGUCCUUAACAGUCCAUUGCACUAUUGUGGCAACAUAAACCUCUAUGGAAUGCUAUUGGGUGCUUAUCAUGGCAUAUAUGGAAGGAAAGAAAUAAAAAAUAUAGACAGCACAUUAGUAGGCCUCCUGAGGUAGUCCUUAAGGAGGUCAAUUAAAGACAUCAGUCUCUUCUUUGAUUCAGUGUAUUACAAGCAAGGUUUAAAAACCGGUUAACCGGUUCUGGCUGACCGGUUUUCCGGUGAGGCCGAUUAACCACUGGUUAACCGGUGGGGGUAUUUUCGUAAUUUUUUCUUCUUCAUAAAUUCACUAAGGUUAAAAAUAUAUUUUUAUGCCAAAAAUUUAUACAUUGGUCCAUGAAAAGAGCUAUAUUAUUUUUAAUAAAAGCUCCUCCCACUCUUAAAACUUCAUAUUUGUUUUAGACAAAAUGAAUCUUUAUUUAUAGACCAACCUUCUUUGUGUUUUUUGAAUUCUAUCGAUGUGGGACUAAAAAAGUGUACUUAGAUAAAUUAUAAAAUAUUUUUUAUACUUUUUAUGAAUGUGGGACUAAAUAAAGUGUACAUGCAUGUAUUAUUAUAAAGUGUACAUGUAUGUAUUAUUAUAAAGUGUACAUGCCUGUAUUAUUAGUCCCACAUUCAUAAAAAGUACAAAGAAUAUUUUAUAAUAUUUUUAACUACACUUUUUUAGUCCCAUAUCGAUAGAAUUCAAAAAACACAAAGAAGGUUGAUCUAUAAAUAAAGAUUCAUUUUGUCUAAAACAAAUAUGAAGUCUUAAGAGUGAGAGGAGCUUUUAUUAAAAAUAAUAUAGCUCUUUUCAUGAACCAAUAUAUAAAUUUUUGGCAUGAAAAUAUAUUUUUGGCCUUAAAAUAAAUUUUUGGUCUUAAAAUAAGUUUUUAGUUUUAAAAAAUGGGUCGGAUAUUUGGGUCGGGUACGGGUCAGACCCGACCCGUAGACCCACAAACCCGCUCCAACUAACCGGCUACCGGUUUUGGAUUUUUUACCGGUCACCGUCGGUUUUUAAACCUUGAUUACAAGAAGAGUUAUUGUCACCCUUUGGAGAUAUCUAUGAUAGAAGUACGAGAGACCAACUUCCUGAGGCAGCGUAUCUAGUUAUUGUAUAACUAGACUACAUAGCUAAUGGGAGAGAGUCAAUGAGCUUCUUGCUCAUUUCUUUUUACUUCUGUUUUGCGUCCUUUAUGAUCCCUUUACUGUUCUCCUUUAAUUCGGGGAAAUCCCCUGGGCCAGAUGGUUUCACAUCGGAAUUUUUCAAAAAAAUUUGGGGAGAUCUUAAAGUCCUAGUAAUGGAGUGUGUAAGACAAUUUUUUAAAGGCAAGCCUUUGUUGAAGUCUGCUAACCAUACUUUCAUCAUGCUUGUGCCCAAAACAAACACGGCCUCAGAUAUGUCGGAUUUCAGGCCGAUAUCAUGUGUCAAUUUGAUCUACAAGCUAAUGACGAAAAUAUUAGCAGAUAGGAUCAAUGUUUAAAAACCGGCGGUUAACCGGCUGACCGGUAGAAUUUCACUAACCGGUCACCGGUUAGUUGGGACGGGUAAAUGGGUCGACGGGGUGGGUCUGACCCGUACCCGACCCGGUUACCCGUCCCUGUUACCCGUCUCGGAUUUAAUUAUUUCAGUUAUGGGCUUUAUUUAAUAAAGCCCAUUAUGUUUAAGUUCAUUUAUUAAAGAAUAAGUUCUUUGCAACCCUAGCCAUUAUGGGCCUCAAAGAAUAAGUUUAAAUCUUAUUCUUUGACCUAGCCGUUGCCUCCUUCCUUAUAUUUCUUUUUCUCCUCCACUCUCCUCCAUUCACAUCUCCUCCACUCUCCACCAUUAGAAGUUUCUUCCUUCUUCUUCUCCUUCACAUUUCUUUGAUUCUCCACCAUCAGAAUUUUUUCUUCUUCUUUUCCUCCACAUUUGUUUGCCAUUUGCUUCACUUCCUACGGUCUGAAAUAUUAUCCUACUGCAUCGAUCAUGUCUUCCCAAGAAUCCAGCGAUUAUGUACUUUAUUUAAGUGAAGAAUCCAGUCAUUCUAGUGAAAAUGAAGCUGGAAAUGAUGUGCGUAUCGAUUUGGAUGAAUUAGAAGAUGAAUUAGAGUUGCUGGACAGCGAGGAAGUGAAUUUUAAUCCAUCAACUACUGCUGGAAAUGUUGCAUCCACCUCAGUUGAGUCUAUUCCAGAAUUUCCAGCAACUACUGCUGAAAAUGUUGCUGAAAAUAUUGCUGGAAAUGUUGCUGGAAAUGCUCCUGGAAAUGCUGCUGAAAAUGUUGCUGCCCAAAUUCGUUUUCAACCAGAUUGUAAUGUUGUUUACCACAAAUCCAUACCGUUGGAGGUAAUUUCGGAUAAAUCGAAAAGACCUACUAAAUCUACAGAUUUGGCAUGGAAAUAUGGAGUAAUCAACGACUUCUCGAAGUCCUAUCAAGUGCAAUGUCUUUUAUGUGGAAAAACCAACAGUGGUGGAAUAGGACGCUUGAAGGAACAUCUUACCGGAGAUACUCACGGUACAAAUAAUGUUCAAAAAUGUCAUUAUACAACCAUUGCGAUGGCAAAUGAAUUGCUGGAAUAUAUGGGGAAAAAGAAGAGGAAAGACAAAGCUCCCAUCAUCGAUAUCAUCAAAUUGCAAAAGAAAUCCAAGAAAUCGCAUAAAACAAUUUCGACUUCAAAAUCAAGUGUGCUAGGAUCAAACAAGCCAUCAACAUCUGGAUUAUUAAAGAAGAUGAAUGCUUUGGGUUUGGAAGACAACGAAACAGUCCACGACGUUGUUCGAAAGAGGAAUACUUUCAAAUCGAAACAAUCAUCACUUGAAGAUCACAUGAAAAAGGAAGCCAAGACUAUUGUGGAUGACAUAGUGGCUGAAUUUUUUUAUUCUAGUGGAAUUCCUUUCAAUGUGGUUCGUAAUCCACUUUUUGAGGUAUGAAAUUAGUUUUCUCAAUUUUUCACAUGAUUUAUUAAGUCUGAUUUUUACUUAAUCAGUUCUUAAAUAAAUGUCAUAGGUCAUGCUUGAGGCCGUUGGUAGAUAUUGCAGAAACUAUAAGCCACCUUCAAUGUAUCAAUUGAGAGUACCCCUUCUCAAGAGACAAGUUACAAAAACCAAAGAAAUUCGGAAAAAACAUGAGGAGGCUUGGAAACGUGGGGGUUGUACACUGAUGUCAGAUGGUUGGACUGAUGGACGCAACAGAAGUAUUAUCAACUUCUUAGUGAAUUCAAGUGCGGGGACCUACUAUAUGCAUUCAAUCGAUGCAUCAUCUGAAACAAAAACUGCCGAUUACGUUGCCAAAACUCUUGACGAUGCAAUGCAAAAGGUUGGAGUGAAGAAUGUGGUUCAAAUUUGUACCGACAACGCAAGCAACUAUGUCUUGGCUGGAAAGAUGCUAAUGGAUAAAUACAAACAUUUGUAUUGGACUCCUUGCGUAGCACAUGUGUUGGAUUUGACAAUUGAGGAUGUUGGUAAAAUCCCAAAAUAUGCCAAAGUUGUCAAAAAUGCAAGGAAAAUCACUACCCACAUCUACAACCACACGAACCUUCAUAGUGAUUUCCUAGUGGCUUCAAAGAACAAAGAACUUAUUCGUUGUGGUGUUACUAGAUUUGCAUCUGCAUACCUAACAUUGGAAAGUUUGAAAGAACAAAAGGAUGUUUUGAAACACUUCAAUUGGGAGAAGUACAAGAACAAAGGUAACAACACUGCUGUCCAAAGAUUGAUGAUCAACUCUUUAUUUUGGGAGGCACUUGAGGAUUUUUGUCGAGCUACAAAACCACUUGUGGAAUUGCUAAGGUUGGUAGACGCAGAAAGAAAACCUGUCAUGGGUUAUGUGUACAUGGGUUUCAAAAUGGCAAAGGAAGGUGUUAAGAACAAUUUUAACAAUGUGGAAAGAGACUACAAGCCAAUCUGGGAGAUCAUGGAAAGAAGAUGGGAUAAACAUUUUCAAAGUCCUCUUUUUAAAGCGGGUGCAUUUCUGAAUCCAAAAUCAUUUUAUGAGCUAAGAAGGUACUAAUGAAAUUAAAUAACNNNNNNNNNNNNNNNNNNNNNNNNNNNNNNNNNNNNNNNNNNNNNNNNNNNNNNNNNNNNNNNNNNNNNNNNNNNNNNNNNNNNNNNNNNNNNNNNNNNNGAAUGGAUGACUGGAAUUGAAGGACCAUCAAAUGAGUCUGUGUACACAGAUGAUGGACUCACUUGGGCUACAGUAGAGGAGGCUAUGGGAAUACAUGAAAGACUUGGAGCCUACACAAGGAGGGCUCAAAACGUAGAAAAUGAUGAUAUCUAGAUAUCUAGAUAUCUUAGGCUUAGGAUAUUUUGAAUUACAUUAUGGAAUUAAUUACCUAUUUGCAUUACUAUUUUGAAUGACUAUUUUGAAUGACUAUAUUGUUUAUGAUAUUUUUAUUUAUAUAAACAGGGAUAUAAACAGGGAUAUAAACAGGGAUAUAAACAUGGAUAUAAACAUGGAAUAGAUAGAUAUAUAAGUAUAUAAAUAAUUUCUGUUUUUUAAAAAAAAAUUACCAAAAUACCCCUACCGGUUAACCACUGGUUAACCGGUGGUUAACCGGUCUAACCGGAUAACCGGUAAGCCAGAACC